UGGCUAACUCCUACGGGAGGCAGCAGUGGGGAAUAUUGGACAAUGGGCGCAAGCCUGAUCCAGCCAUGCCGCGUGAGUGAUGAAGGCCUUAGGGUUGUAAAGCUCUUUUGUCCGGGACGAUAAUGACGGUACCGGAAGAAUAAGCCCCGGCUAACUUCGUGCUAGCAGCCGCGGUAAUACGAAGGGGGCUAGCGUUGCUCGGAAUCACUGGGCGUAAAGGGCGCGUAGGCGGCCAUUCAAGUCGGGGGUGAAAGCCUGUGGCUCAACCACAGAAUUGCCUUCGAUACUGUUUGGCUUGAGUGUGGUAGAGGUCGGUGGAACUGCGAGUGUAGAGGUGAAAUUCGUAGAUAUUCGCAAGAACACCAGUGGCGAAGGCGGCCGACUGGACCAUUACUGACGCUGAGGCGCGAAAGCGUGGGGAGCAAACAGGAUUAGAUACCCGGGUAGUCCAGCUGG
Molecule: ribosomal RNA, 456 nt
Filed under: uncultured bacterium
Lineage: Bacteria
Description: bacterial SSU rRNA
Rfam family: Bacterial small subunit ribosomal RNA
Source: RNAcentral